AGCACGGGAGCAAUCCUGGUGGCGAGUGGCGAACGGGUGAGUAAUAUAUCGGAACGUGCCCAGUCGUGGGGGAUAACGCAGCGAAAGCUGUGCUAAUACCGCAUACGAUCUCUGGAUGAAAGCGGGGGACUCUGCAAAGGGCCUCGCGCGAUUGGAGCGGCCGAUAUCAGAUUAGCUAGUUGGUGGGGUAAAAGCCCACCAAGGCGACGAUCUGUAGCUGGUCUGAGAGGACGACCAGCCACACUGGAACUGAGACACGGUCCAGACUCCUACGGGAGGCAGCAGUGGGGAAUUUUGGACAAUGGGCGCAAGCCUGAUCCAGCAAUGCCGCGUGCAGGAUGAAGGCCUUCGGGUUGUAAACUGCUUUUGUACGGAACGAAACGGUCCUUUCUAAUAAAAGGGGCUAAUGACGGUACCGUAAGAAUAAGCACCGGCUAACUACGUGCCAGCAGCCGCGGUAAUACGUAGGGUGCGAGCGUUAAUCGGAAUUACUGGGCGUAAAGCGUGCGCAGGCGGUUAUAUAAGACAGAUGUGAAAUCCCCGGGCUCAACCUGGGCACUGCAUUUGUGACUGUAUAGCUAGAGUACGGUAGAGGGGGAUGGAAUUCCGCGUGUAGCAGUGAAAUGCGUAGAUAUGCGGAGGAACACCGAUGGCGAAGGCAAUCCCCUGGACCUGUACUGACGCUCAUGCACGAAAGCGUGGGGAGCAAACAGGAUUAGAUACCCUGGUAGUCCACGCCCUAAACGAUGUCAACUGGUUGUUGGGUCUUCACUGACUCAGUAACGAAGCUAACGCGUGAAGUUGACCGCCUGGGGAGUA
RNAcentral lists this ribosomal RNA (819 nucleotides) under uncultured bacterium. RNAcentral's name for it is "bacterial SSU rRNA". It matches the Rfam family "Bacterial small subunit ribosomal RNA", at positions 71 to 882 of the family's 1533-position model. The record is from RNAcentral.